GAUGAACGCUGGCGGCGUGCCUAAUACAUGCAAGUCGAGCGAACAGACGAGGAGCUUGCUCCUCUGACGUUAGCGGCGGACGGGUGAGUAACACGUGGAUAACCUACCUAUAAGACUGGGAUAACUUCGGGAAACCGGAGCUAAUACCGGAUAAUAUAUUGAACCGCAUGGUUCAAUAGUGAAAGACGGUUUUGCUGUCACUUAUAGAUGGAUCCGCGCCGCAUUAGCUAGUUGGUAAGGUAACGGCUUACCAAGGCAACGAUGCGUAGCCGACCUGAGAGGGUGGUCGGCCACAAUGGAACUGAGAAACGGUCCAGACUCCUAAGGGAGGCAGCAGUAGGGAAUCUUCCGCAAUGGGCGGAAGCCUGACGGAGCCACGCCGCGGGAGUGAUGAAGGUCUUCGGAUCGUAAAACUCUGUUAUUAGGGAAGAACAAAUGUGUAAGUAACUAUGCAAGUCUUGACGGUACCUAAUCAGAAAGCCACGGCUAACUACGUG
RNAcentral lists this ribosomal RNA (497 nucleotides) under uncultured bacterium. RNAcentral's name for it is "partial 16S ribosomal RNA". It matches the Rfam family "Bacterial small subunit ribosomal RNA", at positions 28 to 507 of the family's 1533-position model. The record is from RNAcentral.